This 741-nucleotide ribosomal RNA is filed under the name uncultured Corynebacterium sp. RNAcentral describes it as "bacterial SSU rRNA". It matches the Rfam family "Bacterial small subunit ribosomal RNA", at positions 28 to 776 of the family's 1533-position model. The record is from RNAcentral. Lineage: Bacteria; Bacillati; Actinomycetota; Actinomycetes; Mycobacteriales; Corynebacteriaceae.
GACGAACGCUGGCGGCGUGCUUAACACAUGCAAGUCGAACGGAAAGGCCCUGCUUGCAGGGUGCUCGAGUGGCGAACGGGUGAGUAACACGUGGGUGAUCUGCCCCUUACUUUGGGAUAAGCCUGGGAAACUGGGUCUAAUACUGGAUAGGACCAUGCUGUAGGUGGUGUGGUGGAAAGAUUUUUUCGGUAAGGGAUGAGCUCGCGGCCUAUCAGCUUGUUGGUGGGGUAAUGGCCUACCAAGGCGUCGACGGGUAGCCGGCCUGAGAGGGUGGACGGCCACAUUGGGACUGAGAUACGGCCCAGACUCCUACGGGAGGCAGCAGUGGGGAAUAUUGCACAAUGGGCGCAAGCCUGAUGCAGCGACGCCGCGUGGGGGAUGACGGCCUUCGGGUUGUAAACUCCUUUCAGCCAUGACGAAGCCUCUUUUGGGGUGACGGUAGUGGUAGAAGAAGCGCCGGCUAACUACGUGCCAGCAGCCGCGGUAAUACGUAGGGUGCGAGCGUUGUCCGGAAUUACUGGGCGUAAAGAGCUCGUAGGUGGUCUGUCGCGUCAUUUGUGAAAGCCCGGGGCUUAACUCCGGGUUGGCAGGUGAUACGGGCAUGGCUGGAGUACUGUAGGGGAGACUGGAAUUCCUGGUGUAGCGGUGAAAUGCGCAGAUAUCAGGAGGAACACCGGUGGCGAAGGCGGGUCUCUGGGCAGUAACUGACGCUGAGGAGCGAAAGCAUGGGUAGCGAACAGG